CACUAGAUGGCUGAAAGUAAGUAAUGGUCUCUUAAACCAAUUUAUAGUAAUUUAACACCUACUUC
RNAcentral lists this transfer RNA (65 nucleotides) under Nicrophorus nepalensis. RNAcentral's name for it is "tRNA-Lys". The record is from RNAcentral. Lineage: Eukaryota; Metazoa; Arthropoda; Insecta; Coleoptera; Silphidae.